AACGAACGCUGGCGGCAUGCCUAACACAUGCAAGUCGAACGAGACCUCCGUGUCUAGUGGCGCACGGGUGCGUAACGCGUGGGAACCUGCCCUUAGGUUCGGAAUAACUCCCCGAAAGGGGUGCUAAUACCGGAUAAUGUCUUCGGACCAAAGAUUUAUCGCCUUUGGAUGGGCCCGCGUUGGCUUAGCUAGUUGGUAGGGUAAAAGCCUACCAAGGCGACGAUACAUAGCUGGUCUGAGAGGAUGAUCAGCCACACUGGGACUGAGACACGGCCCAGACUCCUACGGGAGGGAGCAGUGGGGGAUAUUGGACUAUGGGCGAAAGCCUGAUCCAGCAAUGCCGCGUGAGUGAUGAAGGCCUUAGGGUUGUAAAGCUCUUUUACCCGGGAUGAUAAUGACAGUACCGGGAGAAUAAGCACCGGCUAACUCCGUG
RNAcentral lists this ribosomal RNA (433 nucleotides) under uncultured bacterium. Its description in RNAcentral is "partial 16S ribosomal RNA". It matches the Rfam family "Bacterial small subunit ribosomal RNA", at positions 29 to 507 of the family's 1533-position model. The record is from RNAcentral.